Long non-coding RNA from Brassica rapa (field mustard), 806 nucleotides. RefSeq lists it as uncharacterized. The record is from RefSeq and is a predicted model, not a curated record. NCBI's taxonomy places the organism in Eukaryota, Viridiplantae, Streptophyta, Magnoliopsida, Brassicales, Brassicaceae.
UAGAUAUAUGUAAGGAGAAUUGCAUCCAACAUCAAUCAAACAAAUUAUAAUUCAUCCACUAACUAAAAACCCUGUUUUUUCAAUAUACACUGUACACAUUAUAGAUUAUUGCCAUAUUACCCUUGCAAUCAACCGGUGAAACCUACUAACAAAAAUAAUUAAAAAAAAUAUAAAAAACUUUUAGCCACAUCUUCUAAUCCAUCACAACCACCUCCACGUCUCUACUCCACCACCUCUUUCCAGUGUUUCUCUUUCUUCUUCAGAUUAUCAAAAAAAUCAUACAUUUUCUACUGUCACAUAAUUCUUCUCUUUCAAUACUUCACCAAAAGAACAAUCAAUUGUUCUAAAGAAGAGACAACAAUGAAGUCAUAGACGAUCCAGUGGUGAAGAACAGACAAGAACAGACAGCGAUGAAAGCAUAGACGAUCUAGAGGUGAAGAACAACGACGGCGAAUCGGUUAAAGCAUCAUCGUGUCGGGAAAAAAAGAAGAGAUGAAGAUGAUCUCUAUAUGGUGGUGAACGAAAUGAAUGUGUAUCAGCCUGUCUAAAAAAAGAAGAAUUGAAGAAGAUGAAUUCGUCGUCUAUACUAUAUUUGGUGAAAUGAAUAGUAUAGUAUAUAUUUUUAAGUACAGCUACUUAUGUACGGUUACCAUACUAUUUGAGACAUAUUUCUAUACUACUCCUUAAAAAAGUAAUAAUAUGUCAUGUUUUUAAUUUUGAUAGGUCUCUUCUUUGUUAAUUUGUGUGAUUGAUUGUAAUAUGAAAUUCAUUUUUCGAGUGUUGGAAAAAUUUGAUUAUUUGGAACA